AACGAACGCUGGCGGCAGGCUUCAUACAUGCAAGUCGAACGGGUGUAGCAAUACAUCAGUGGCGCACGGGUGCGUAACGCGUGGGAAUAUGCCCUUUGGUACGGGACAACAUUUGGAAACGAAUGCUAAUACCGUAUAAUAUCUGCGGAUCAAAGAUUUAUCGCCAAAGGAUUAGCCCGCGUUGGAUUAGGUAGUUGGUGGGGUAAUGGCUCACCAAGCCGACGAUCCAUAGCUGGUCUGAGAGGAUGAUCAGCCACACUGGGACUGAGACACGGCCCAGACUCCUACGGGAGGCAGCAGUAAGGAAUAUUGGACAAUGGAGGAAACUCUGAUCCAGCCAUGCCGCGUGAGUGAAGAAGGCCUUCGGGUUGUAAAGCUCUUUUAUCCCUGACGAUAAUGACGGUAGGGGAAGAAAAAGCCACGGCUAACUUCGUACCAGCAGCCGCGGUAA
This 451-nucleotide ribosomal RNA is filed under the name uncultured bacterium. RNAcentral describes it as "partial 16S ribosomal RNA". It matches the Rfam family "Bacterial small subunit ribosomal RNA", at positions 29 to 523 of the family's 1533-position model. The record is from RNAcentral.